Molecule: ribosomal RNA, 1319 nt
Filed under: uncultured Alphaproteobacteria bacterium
Lineage: Bacteria; Pseudomonadati; Pseudomonadota; Alphaproteobacteria
Description: uncultured alpha proteobacterium 16S ribosomal RNA
Rfam family: Bacterial small subunit ribosomal RNA
Source: RNAcentral
ACGCUGGCGGCACGCCUAACACAUGCAAGUCGAACGAAGUAGCAAUACUUAGUGGCAGACGGGUGAGUAACAUGUAGGUAUCUGCCCUUUGGCCUGGAAUAACACGAGGAAACUUGUGCUAAUACCGGAUAAGUCUUUACGGAGAAAGCUUUAUGCACCAUUGGAUGAGCCUGCACUUGAUUAGUUUGUUGGUGGGGUAAUGGCCUACCAAGACUGUGAUCAAUAGCUGAUUUGAGAGGAUGAUCAGCCACAUUGGGACUGAGACACGGCCCAAACUCCUACGGGAGGCAGCAGUGGGGAAUCUUGCACAAUGGAGGAAACUCUGAUGCAGCGAUGCCGCGUGAGUGAAGAAGGCCCUUGGGUUGUAAAGCUCUUUCGUCGGGGAAGAAAAUGACUGUACCCGAAUAAGAAGGUCCGGCUAACUUCGUGCCAGCAGCCGCGGUAAUACGAAGGGACCUAGCGUAGUUCGGAAUUACUGGGCUUAAAGAGUUCGUAGGUGGUUGAAAAAGUUAGUGGUGAAAUCCCAGAGCUUAACUCUGGAACUGCCAUUAAAACUUUUUAGCUAGAGUAUGAUAGAGGAAAGCAGAAUUUCUAGUGUAGAGGUGAAAUUCGUAGAUAUUAGAAAGAAUACCAAUUGCGAAGGCAGCUUUCUGGAUCAUUACUGACACUGAGGAACGAAAGCAUGGGUAGCGAAGAGGAUUAGAUACCCUCGUAGUCCAUGCCGUAAACGAUGUGUGUUAGACGUUGGAAAUUUAUUUUCAGUGUCGCAGGGAAACCGAUAAACACACCGCCUGGGGAGUACGACCGCAAGGUUAAAACUCAAAUGAAUUGACGGGGACCCGCACAAGUAGUGGAGCAUGUGGUUUAAUUCGAAGAUACGCGCAGAACCUUACCAACACUUGACAUGUUCGUCGCGACUCUAAGAGAUUAGAGUUUUCGGUUCGGCCGGACGAAACACAGGUGCUGCAUGGCUGUCGUCAGCUCGUGUCGUGAGAUGUUGGGUUAAGUCCCGCAACGAGCGCAACCCUCACUUUUAGUUGCCAUCAUUAAGUUGGGCACUCUGAAAGAACUGCCAGUGAUAAGCUGGAGGAAGGUGGGGAUGACGUCAAGUCCUCAUGGCCCUUACGUGUUGGGCUACACACGUGCUACAAUGGUAUCUACAACAGGAAGCAAGACUGCGAAGUUAAGCAAAUCCCUAAAAGAUACCUCAGUUCGGAUUGCACUCUGCAACUCGAGUGCAUGAAGCUGGAAUUACUAGUAAUCGUGGAUCAGCGUGCCACGGUGAAUGCGUUCCCGGGUCUUGUACUCACCGCCCGUCA